AGUAGUUGAUCCGUGGCUCGAGACGACGCUGGCGGCGUGCUUCAUACAUGCAAGUCGAACGUGAAGCUGAAGCUUGCUUCAGUGGAAAGUGGCGGACGGGUGAGUAACACGUAGGAAACCUGCCUUUUAGUGGGGGACAACAGAGGGAAACUUCUGCUAAUACCCCAUAUGAGCGUAGCUGAAAUGCUAUUCUUGAAAACUCCGGUGCUAAAGAUGGGCCUGCGUCUGAUUAGCUUGUUGGUGGUGUAAUGGACCACCAAGGCGACGAUCAGUAGCUGGUUUGAGAGGAUGAUCAGCCACAAUGGGACUGAGACACGGCCCAUACUCC
This 328-nucleotide ribosomal RNA is filed under the name uncultured cyanobacterium. Its description in RNAcentral is "bacterial SSU rRNA". It matches the Rfam family "Bacterial small subunit ribosomal RNA", at positions 1 to 339 of the family's 1533-position model. Lineage: Bacteria; Bacillati; Cyanobacteriota. The record is from RNAcentral.